This 206-nucleotide ribosomal RNA is filed under the name uncultured bacterium. RNAcentral's name for it is "partial 16S ribosomal RNA". It matches the Rfam family "Bacterial small subunit ribosomal RNA", at positions 568 to 774 of the family's 1533-position model. The record is from RNAcentral.
CUCGUAGGCGGUUUGUCGCGUCGGGAGUGAAAACUCAGGGCUCAACCCUGAGCGUGCUUCCGAUACGGGCAGACUAGAGGUAUGCAGGGGAGAACGGAAUUCCUGGUGUAGCGGUGGAAUGCGCAGAUAUCAGGAGGAACACCGGUGGCGAAGGCGGUUCUCUGGGCAUGACCUGACGCUGAGGAGCGAAAGCAUGGGAGCGAACA